This 1471-nucleotide long non-coding RNA is filed under the name Salmo salar (Atlantic salmon). Its description in RNAcentral is "lncRNA (ENSSSAG00000106463.1)". Lineage: Eukaryota; Metazoa; Chordata; Actinopteri; Salmoniformes; Salmonidae. The record is from RNAcentral.
CAGAAUUUGUAAGUGGUCAGCCUGGGGACAGUGAGACUGAGAUUUUCUUUCAGCCUUUGAAUGAAUACAACGUUGCCCGAUUGGAAUAUUAUCGCUAUUUUACGAGAAAAAUAGCAUAAAACUUGAUUUUAAACAGCGUUUGACAUGCUUCAAAGUACGGUAAUGGAAUAUUUUGACAUUUUUGUCACGAAAUGCGCUCGCCCUUCGGAUAGUGACCUGAAUGCACGACCAAAACGGAGCUAUUUGAAUAUAAUUAUGGAUUAUUUGGAACCAAAACAACAUUUGUUGUUGAAGUAGAAGUCCUGGGAGUGCAUUCUGAUGAAGAACAGCAAAGGCUAAGUAUAAAACCUUGUUCAGCGGUGUCGUGGGAACCCCCCCUACUAUAUUAGGACCUGUUACAGAAGACGAAGCUGAUGCAGUGGCUAUACACCAGUCCGUCUUCAGUGUAAUGAAGGACACUUGUAUCAGGUUGGUCACAUUUGAUUUGGUCAAAAUACUCACUUGUCUGUACAGGAAUUCACCUAACCACCAUUGAUAAUGUAAUUAGUGCUGUGUGUAUUUGUAUGUAUAUCUUGAAUGUUGUAAGGAGGUUCCCCCUUACUACUCCUAGGGCCGAGUGAGUAAUGCCAACCAGUCAGUGCCAUGCUGGCACAUGCCCCUUGUGAAUGAGCUGUGAAUCAGGAUCUCUGAUUGGCUAUGUUCAACUGUUUUUUCAGUGUACCAUUCCAGUGUUUAAUUGCUAUAUUGUAAUUACUUCGCCACCAUGGCCUAUUUAUUGCCUUAACUUACCUCAUUUGCACUCACUGUAUAUAGACUUUUUGUUUUCUUUUGUUCUACUGUAUGUUUUAUUUAUUCCAUGUGUAGCUCUGUGUUGUUGUAUGUGUCGAAUUGCUAUGCAUUAUCUUGGCCAGGUCGCAGUUGCAAAUGAGAACUUGUUCUCAACUAGCCUUCCUGGUUAAAUAAACAUUAUUUUAUUUUUUUACUGAUGGCUUCCAUGACUGUAUGGUGACAAUCUUUCUGUCUCUCCCCACCUCUCCGCUUCUGUGAUGUAAGAGCUGAGUCGGAGCUGUAAAUCAAGCUCCUUCAUGACCAGUAUCAGUGAUGAAAGAGGCCUGGAGCUGAUCUACACUGCCAUGCUCAUCAGACGUUUGCAAACACCUCAGAAGGGACAGGAGGUGAUUACUGAUAAGACAGUACAUCACAAGUGUUUAAUAAUAUAUCUGUCACUCAUCAUACAUGUCACUUUUCUAAAUCAAAACAAAUUGUAUUUGUCACAUGCUUCGUAAACAACAGGUGUAGACUAACAGUGAAAUGCUUACAGGUCCUUUUCCAAAAAUGCAGAGUUAAGAUUAAAAUACAACAUUUAAAUAGAAAUUGUGACAAGGAAUAAAUACACAGUGAAUAACGAAUAACAAUAACGAGUAAAUGUAGCUUGGAUAUUAGCCUUGUCGAUAACAAGGCUUAUCUAAAU